RNAcentral lists this ribosomal RNA (407 nucleotides) under uncultured bacterium. RNAcentral describes it as "partial 16S ribosomal RNA". It matches the Rfam family "Bacterial small subunit ribosomal RNA", at positions 28 to 526 of the family's 1533-position model. The record is from RNAcentral.
GACGAACGCUGGCGGCGUGCCUAAUACAUGCAAGUAGAACGCAGUUGCGAACGGGUGAGUAACGCGUAGGUAACUGCCUCAUAGCGGGGGAUAACUAGUGGAAACGAUAGCUAAUACAGCAUACUGUGAGAUGGACCUGCGUUGUAUUAGCUAGUUGGUGAUGUAAAGGCUCACAAAGGCGAAGAUACAUAGCCGACCUGAGAGGGUGAUCUGCCACACUGGGACUGGAACACGGCCCAGACUCCUACGGGUGGCAGCAGUAGGGGAUCUUCGGCAAUGGACAGAAGUCUUACCUCGCAACUCCGCGUGAGUGAGGAGGGUUUUCGGAUCGUAAAGCUCUGUUGUUAGAUACGCGGUAACUAACCAGAAAGGGUCGGCUAACUACGUGCCAGCAGCCGCGGUAAUUC